RNAcentral lists this ribosomal RNA (685 nucleotides) under Bacillus sp. DNRA2. RNAcentral's name for it is "Bacterial small subunit ribosomal RNA". It matches the Rfam family "Bacterial small subunit ribosomal RNA", at positions 445 to 1125 of the family's 1533-position model. The record is from Rfam by way of RNAcentral. Lineage: Bacteria; Bacillati; Bacillota; Bacilli; Caryophanales; Bacillaceae.
AAGUACCGGAGUAACUGCCGGUACCUUGACGGUACCUAACCAGAAAGCCACGGCUAACUACGUGCCAGCAGCCGCGGUAAUACGUAGGUGGCAAGCGUUGUCCGGAAUUAUUGGGCGUAAAGCGCGCGCAGGCGGUCUCUUAAGUCUGAUGUGAAAGCCCCCGGCUCAACCGGGGAGGGUCAUUGGAAACUGGGAGACUUGAGUGCAGAAGAGAAGAGCGGAAUUCCACGUGUAGCGGUGAAAUGCGUAGAGAUGUGGAGGAACACCAGUGGCGAAGGCGGCUCUUUGGUCUGUAACUGACGCUGAGGCGCGAAAGCGUGGGGAGCGAACAGGAUUAGAUACCCUGGUAGUCCACGCCGUAAACGAUGAGUGCUAAGUGUUAGAGGGUUUCCGCCCUUUAGUGCUGCAGCAAACGCAUUAAGCACUCCGCCUGGGGAGUACGGCCGCAAGGCUGAAACUCAAAGGAAUUGACGGGGGCCCGCACAAGCGGUGGAGCAUGUGGUUUAAUUCGAAGCAACGCGAAGAACCUUACCAGGUCUUGACAUCCUUUGCCACUCCUAGAGAUAGGAUUUUCCCCUUCGGGGGACAAAGUGACAGGUGGUGCAUGGUUGUCGUCAGCUCGUGUCGUGAGAUGUUGGGUUAAGUCCCGCAACGAGCGCAACCCUUGUUCUUAGUUGCCAGCAUU